GCAAACCCUGCAUUUCCCGAAACCCUAGAAAUCUCUCUCUCUCUCUCUCCGUCUGGCUCUCCCCUUCGCCAUUCUCGUAAUCUGCAAGUGUUCGCUUGCAGAAAGCUAAUUUUGAUUUCAAUUCAAUCAAAUUUCUGCAAUUGAUUCGUUGGUGAUGGCCCAGGGAAAAGUCAGUCUCGCUCAAGAACUCCUCCCCUCGCCGAUCUUCUCCGCCACCAAAGACUCGGAGAUGGCACAGAGGGAAGAGUUCGAGAUGAGCGUCGCAGGAUCUGGAGAGGUGGAGCCUUCGAUCAGUUAGAUCCUUGGAAAGAUUGACAGGUUCACGGAGAUUGUGAGUGUUUUCGGUUCUUGUGGAUCCGCAGUUUUGAUUUGUUGAUUUCAUGUGAUGUUUGGAAGGCUGAAGAAAGGAUGAAGAAUCAGGUUGGUCGAUUCAUUUUAAGUCAUUUUUCAUUUUGAUUUUACAGUAUGUGAGUUUGAUAAUUAAAUAGAAAAGAAACGGGUAUGAUCUAUGGUGUGGUCACAAUUGUUGUCAAGCAAGAACAAUUGGCUUAAUUGAAUUGACGAAUUGAUUUUCUUGUAAGAUUAGUAUUUUGUUUGGAACACAGAUAUAAGGGCAAUGACAGAGAUCGAGUUGUUGAGGCACUACUUCCAGAACACUCAAGGUCUUAUUUUUGUGGUUGAUCGCAAUGACAUGGAUCGAGUUGUUGAGGCAAGGGAUGAGUUGCACAGGAUGUUGAAUUAGUUUUUCAUCCAUUAUUGUCAGAGUUCAAGAAAAUAUUUCGAACAAGUCUAAGAGCCAGGAAAUUGUUUGACGAGUUACUCAGAGUUAAGAGACAGCAACAACAUCGCCAUUUAGAACGUGAUACUAAGCAACAAAGGAUGGUCUCUGAUCUUGAAGCAAGAGAACGAGCUGCCUUUGCUCCAGACCCAGCAGCCACAGAAAGAGAAGAAUAGGAGAGAAUUGUUAGGAAACUUGCUGAAGAGGUUUCGAGAAUACGUCCAAUGCAUGCGAGUAAAAGGGCGCCUACUGCUUCAGUUCCCAAAAUAGAGAAUGGGAGAGUUGGGAAGGAGAGUGUGGGUGGUGCUGAGUUGGGAAGAAUAGAAAAAACGUAGCAAAAUGGAAAAGAAAGUUCGAUGUGCAUUAAAUAGAUUUCUAUUGCUUUCUCUGUUAGGAAAAUGGGAAGGAAAGUUCGAUGAGUUAAAGUUUAUUAACUGAAUGGUAAAUAGGAUUAUUUUUUUGUUUUUGUUAAGAGUGAUGUAUGACUACGUACUGUUUUGUUUUUGCAGACUAUAUACUACUCGUCACCUACGUCUCCUGGUGCCGAAUGCAUUGAUCUUAAUUGUACUUGGGUGGAGCAAUGAUAAAAAAAUUUCUCAACUCUUUAUCUGAUUGUAGCGUUUAGUGUUUGA
This is a long non-coding RNA of Rosa rugosa (rugosa rose), 1410 nucleotides long. RefSeq lists it as uncharacterized. The transcript is spliced from 3 exons. NCBI's taxonomy places the organism in Eukaryota, Viridiplantae, Streptophyta, Magnoliopsida, Rosales, Rosaceae. The record is from RefSeq and is a predicted model, not a curated record.